Mustela lutreola (European mink) is the source of this 4738-nucleotide RNA transcript. It is a transcript of the gene named myelin associated oligodendrocyte basic protein, with no coding region annotated. The transcript is spliced from 6 exons. NCBI's taxonomy places the organism in Eukaryota, Metazoa, Chordata, Mammalia, Carnivora, Mustelidae. The record is from RefSeq and is a predicted model, not a curated record.
CAAACUCACAACCUUGAGAUCAGGAGUUGCACCCUCCACUGACUGAGGCAGACAGGUACACCUAAUUUAGCAUUUUAAAUAUUGGACAUUUCAUCUUGUUCUUGAAACCAGUCUAUGAAAAUUGCAAUUCCUGGUUAUUCCUAUCUCUUCCUUACUGCUUUCCUAAUCACUUGAAGGCAAAGAGGGUGGCAGUAGGGGCUUUGAUAAGAAUUGAUAGCCAUGUACGGGGAGAAGUUGGGUAAAUGAAAGAAAAGGCCUAAGAAGAGCAUGUCAUUAUUUGCUUAAGCCUUCUCCACUUUGUGAAUUUAUGGAGGAAUUCUGCACUUUGUGAAGCUUAUUCAAGGUAGGGGGAGAGAGGGCAAGCUAAGGAGGAAACAUUCAUAUUCUCUCUUUUCUCCAGAUGAAGUUUCAGAAUCAUGGCAGGAGAUAUGUUAUGGUGCAGUGGAAUCAUCCUCAUAGUGAGAUGAGUCAGAAAACGACUAAGGAGGGUCCCAGACUCUCCAAGAACCAGAAGUUUACAGAGCACUUCAGCAUACAUUGCUGCCCACCAUUCACCUUCCUCAACUCCAAGCGUGAGAUCGUGGAUCGGAAAUAUAGCAUCUGUAAGAGUGGCUGCUUCUAUCAGAAGAAAGAAGAGGACUGGAUCUGCUGUGCCUGCCAGAAGACCAGCAGAAGAGAGCCAUGGCGCCAGCCUCCAGCUUCUUUUGGCCCCCUCAGCACCGGACGCCGUGCAACAUCCCCUCAGAGGCCCAAGCUCCAGCCAGCUGCACCCCCCGCGGUGGUCAGAGCACCAGCCAAGCCACGGUCUCCUCCGAGGUCUGAGCGUCAACCACGCCCCCGCCCAGAGGUCCGACCACCACCAGCCAAGCAGCGCCUCCCUCAGAAGUCCAAGCAGCCGCCGCGCAGCAGCCCCCAGAGAGGGCCAGGCACCAGCCGUGGGGGGUCCCCCAUCAAAGCUUCUAGAUUGAAAAGGAAGAGCAAGCCAACCCCACGGAAAAAGUGAGGGAGGAGUUUCAAGUGAAUGGACCACCUCGGGACCUGGACUCACUGCUUCUUGACUCACGUGCUCUUGGGCAAGUCACCUAGCUUCAAAUAUGGCGCAGGGGCAGACACCUGUUGAUGUGGCAACUACCAAUGUCCACAGCCCCCUCGGGGCAGGGGUUUCCGGGCAGCCUGCCUGGAGGUGAGAGGGGGUAUCUCUAUGUGUCAUACUCCAGUUGGUGGGUCCCAGCAGUGUCCCCUUGGGCUCCAGAUCUCAGUAUAUGGCUCUUUUAGUCUCAGCUGCAGUCCUGUCUUUCACAGAACAUGCACAGACCUCCAGAGUCUUUGGACCAGAAUAGCCAGCCUUGUGAAGAUACCCCUCUGUUGUCUUCUGACCUCUGUCACUGCCAAUGAGAAAUAUGUUGUCAGUCUACUUGUUCUUCCAUUGACUCAAGUUCCUUCAAUCUGAAGAUAUAUAUCUUUCUUCAGGGAUGCACACAAAAAAAAUAUGGUUGUAUAGCCACCAUAAUGGCAAAAAUAAAAGUUUAUCAAGUUUUGGGAAAAAUUCUGAUAAGCCACUGAUGAAAAUUUAUAAACUAUUGUAAUACUUCUGGGGUACAAAAUGGGGAUGCUAGCAAAACAAGAUAUUAUAUAACUUAUGAUCAAGCAAUUAUAAUUCUAGGUACUGAUCCUGGAGAAAACUUGCAUUCAUGAGAAAAGGAGGCACACAUACAUCUAUUCAGUAAAGAAUUGUUUGCUAUUGGAAAAGAAGAGAGAGAAAGAGAAAGGAAUUAAUAAAAAUGUUCACUAAUAGAAUGAGUAAAUCAACAAUGGUAUACUUAUAAAUAAAACUCUUAACAGCAGUUAAAACAAAUGAAUCAUAUAUACCUAUACCAGGUACACAAAUUUGUAAGACAAAUGAAGAAUAUAAAAAGCAAACAAUUGAUGGUAAAUGCAAUCUGAUGCCCCAUGCAUACAUUUUAAUGACCCAUAAUACUAUAAUUGUGCGAUAAGCAGAAACCAUGAUAUCUCAAAUGCUCUCUAUAAUGGAAUAGAUUUUAAAAAAUGACAACAAAAAAUGAAAGCCUAUCUAAAAAAUAUCUAUCCCCCAGAAGUCAAAAGGAAGAUAUGAAAUAAUUCCUGGCUUGAAGAAAUAAGAGAUUAAAACCUGUAUAGAAAUAGUCAACAAUAUUAGCCAGACACAAAGGAGUUUGGCGGGAUAAGUGGGAGACUCAUGAUCAGCCUGGGGUCUUUCCAAGGUUACAAGUCUUAGAGAACAGAACACUUGCUCAUUUUGGACCUGGGUUGUGCUGUGGCUUCAGGCAGAUUUCUGACAUGUGGACAAAGGGGUAGAGUUGAAUACACCAUCCCUCCCAACCUUCCUGUAGCAAUAGGUAGGAAAGCACAGUAGAAGAUAAUGGAAUGUUGCAGAAUGUGGAGGGAUGUAAAAUGGGUAGUAUUAGUAGAGGAAACUCAGGAGAGUGAGGGCAUCUGAAGCAGUCUUGUGCUGGGGGUUGGGUGGCCAAGCACAGGCAGAUGCCUGACACUCCAACAAGGCUGUGGCUCUGUGUCCUUGAGUGAGCACAGCCAGACCCAGCCAAGUUUAAAAGGCAAGUGGGAAUAUGGGGCAAUGCCAGAGGAAGUCUGCUUAAGGUGUGGGGUUUGGGGGAGAGGGAAACCAGAGAGUAGGGAGGAAAAAUGCUAGACUCAGGUAAGAUCCAGCUCAGAAGACUAUUCCUCUGCAAAGCAGAAUCAGGCCAAGUACUCCCAAGGCAACUGGAAGAACAAAUCAGAGCAUUUGGCUUCCUCAGCUGGGGAGGCCACUUCUCUGGGCAAGUGGCAAUAAAAAGGCAGGGGAAUUGAACUACACAAAGCCCUCAGGUAGAAACGUUUCUCCUGCCUAAACUCGGGUGCUAAAUGAACAACAAAAUGAGAACCUCUACUAUGAACACUUUUUAACAAUGAGAUAUGUGAGGCCAUUACAUUCCUGGGAAUGACACCAGGGGUGCCAUGACAGUCCACUAGAAAGAUCAAAUUUGUCGGCCAGCCCCACUCAAACCUAAUAAGGAAACUUAAUAUUCCUUCAGCCCAUUUUAGAUUUUGGCAGAGCCAGACCUCAUACUUAGUAACUUCCUUGGUUCUAUCCUCUAUAUCACUCAGAAGAUACAGAUAUUACAGAAUGCAAAAUCGAGAAGGAAAGAGCAUGGUGUAUAUUAACUUAUGUUAAAAAACUGGAUAAUACCACAGAAAUGUUAAUAACUAGAAAUUAAUGAAUUGUCUGUGUUUGUCUGUUGUGGAAAUAAAACCCUUGGGGAUGGAUAAAAAAUAUCUGGAAAUUACUUGAAACUAGUGGAUAACUAAGUGGAUAUUAUAACUAAAAUGUGCUAUAAUCCAAUUGUGGCUUUUUUUUUUUUUUUUUUUUUUUGUCUUCUAAGUGUUGGUUCUGGGAAGCAUUAUGCCAUGAAUACUGCAAAAAAAAUACAUAAAGCUCCAAAUGCUAUUCUAUGUAAACUUCUUAAGUGGGGAUUCUUGACCAUAAUGUUUGGCAUAUUAACUCUGAUAAUUCUGUAUGUUAAUUGAUUUUAUGUUCUGAUAUUUUGACUGGUUUUGGAAAAACUAAGUUGUCCUAAAGCUGAACCCAGAGUUGUCCUGUAAAUGCCUGACAACAGGAUUUUUGGGUGGAAAGCCCUGAUUUAUAGUGUUUGCCAAUUUCCAUGGUGUAAACACUUCUGCUAUGGUUGAUUGCAGGCUGUGAGCAUGAUGUCACUGAGUGCAGAAUCAGGGGUGAUGAAUGCAGCCGACUCUUGUAAGUUGGUGUACCCACUAGUACCCAAGGGCAGGAAAUGCAGUUUUUUUAACUAAAAAUCCUGUCACAUAGAUAUACAAAGGCACUAGUUAAAGAAUAAAUAAGAAGGAAAAAUCAAAUCAAAUCAAACUGGGAGCUCAAACAGAGAUAAUUGACAGUGGAUUUUUUUUUUUUUUAAUUUUAAGAAGGGGUAUUUGUGUAUCACCUGCAUUUUUUGUCUUUUAUUAUGCAAACAAGGCAUCAGGGUAUCACACUGAGUGCUCUGAACUCUUAGUUUCUUUGGUGUUCUACACAAAGGCUUGGGCUGCUUCCCUUCCAGAUAUUAGUGUGAAGACAGUGCUAACCAAAGAAUCAAUGGGAGCGCCACACUUUGGAGUCAGUUUCAGGAUGGCUGAACUGAAGUUCAAAACAGAAGAAAUUCAGAGCCUUCUGAAUUUGGAGGAGGCAAUGCUGAUAUUUAGACCCAUGGUUUGGUAUGAUAAAUACAGAGCUUUUUUAAAAUUAACAUUAAUGAAAAUAAGGAAAAUGAGUUGUUGAAAAAUUGAAAUGGAUGAAUAAACUCUUCUAUCAGAGUAAGGAAAGAAGAACUUACUAAAAUAGAGGUGAAUUGAAAAUAUCAAUACAAAUUCUGAACAUUUUUUAAAGGAGACUUUAUCUGUUCUGUCCCUACAAUGAUUCAUGCUGUUGGAUAUUUUUGCUAUCAUCUUGCCAAAUUCCAGUCAGAAUGUGGAACAAGCUUAUUUGUAGAACUAGUGCUUAUGGCUUCUAAAACUAUUUUCUAGUAAAAAAGACAGAUACCCUUGGGGGAUAGUUGAUUUCAUAAUUCUGGGCAGAGGAAAAAAAAAUCAGGAUUAGCUUGUGGCUCUUAGGGAUGUUGAAAGAAAGCAAAGUUGCCCUAAGGUAUCAAAGAGGCGUAAGUCCAUAAUGAUGUAAAAAAAAAAAAAGAUAAAA